UACAGAGGGGGCCAGCGUUAUUCGGAAUUAUUGGGCGUAAAGGGCGCGUAGGCGGCCAUGCGUGUCUUCCGUGAAAUCCCUCGGCUUAACCGAGGACGUGCGGAAGAAACUGCAAGGCUCGAGUCCGGAAGAGGGGGGCGGAAUUCCCAGUGUAGCGGUGAAAUGCGUAGAUAUUGGGAGGAACACCAGUGGCGAAGGCAGGUCUCUGGGCAUUAACUGACGCUGAGGAGCGAAAGCAUGGGGAGCGAACAGG
Molecule: ribosomal RNA, 253 nt
Filed under: uncultured bacterium
Lineage: Bacteria
Description: partial 16S ribosomal RNA
Rfam family: Bacterial small subunit ribosomal RNA
Source: RNAcentral